Artibeus jamaicensis (Jamaican fruit-eating bat) is the source of this 107-nucleotide small nuclear RNA. Lineage: Eukaryota; Metazoa; Chordata; Mammalia; Chiroptera; Phyllostomidae. The record is from RefSeq and is a predicted model, not a curated record.
GUGCUCGCUCCAGCAGUGCAUACACUAAAAUUGGAGCAACACAGAGAAGAUUAAUAUGGUCCCUGUGCAAAGACAAGAUGCAAAUUUGUGAAGCAUUCUGUAUUUUC